This is a non-coding RNA of Malus domestica (apple), 1271 nucleotides long. The record is from RefSeq and is a predicted model, not a curated record. NCBI's taxonomy places the organism in Eukaryota, Viridiplantae, Streptophyta, Magnoliopsida, Rosales, Rosaceae.
GUUUUUUUUUUUUUCAAGUACCGCGAUUGUGGCAAGAUUUUCUCUUCUUGGAUUGACCAUCCAAGCAGCUAUUCUCGUCUGUUCUCCACCAUAUCAAUUGCUCUCUGUUGCCGGUGCAGUUCCUCUAUCGGUUCCUCAUACGAUUCUCUCUCUUAUCAGAAACCCAAAUCCAAACCCAGUUACCAACACCCAGAUCGUUAUGCUUUCACGGAACCCCUAUCAGAGGAAACGCUCUUCCUUUCAUCUCUAGAUGGAUAGGAGGGUUUUUUUUGUAUAUUCCCUGCACAUUGCAAAAUUCCGGGUCUAUUUGGGGGGUUUUGGUGUUGCAAAGACUGAAGCUCAAAGAAAAUGGUAUGUAUACUGACAAAUGGUUGUAUAGAAGUGAGUUUGUAAAACUUGGUAAGAAUCUUUAAGAAAUUUAAAGGCAUCAGAAGCCAAAACUGAAGCUCAAAGAAAUAGGCUUAAGUAUGUCAAGGCAUUUAAAAGUGGGCAGAAAUUGAUUGAAGUUCCAAGAGAAGUUCGGAAGUGGUCUCUCAUUUUUGUACAAUUACAAUUGAAAAGGUACCUAUGUUCUUUUUCAUGAUAAGAUACAAUCCUUCUUGUUUCUUGGUAGGUACAACAAUGUGGACUUUGAACAAUGUUAAUAAUAUUUUCCACUAUUUUGAAACAGAUUUUUAUUUUACAAGUAACUAGGUGACUUGUAUCUUUUUGGUGGAACCUAGGUUUUGACAGUUUGAUGAGCUAGAAGGCGCCAUGUUUGGAUUGCCAUUUUUCAGUCAUACUUGGGCAUCGGGCAGUUCUAUCUCUAUUGGCAUCUGAAGCAAAUAAGAGUCCUCCCAUAGAGGUAUUCCUUUCUUACUUUCUUUAUCCCUUCAUUUUCUUUCCUCUUGUAAAUUGUGUGGUUUUUCUUUAUCUUUGAAUUUGAUAAUUAUUCAUGACUUCUGUGAGAGGGACAAGUACUGCAUUUUCUACUUCCUAGCAGAUUGUUGUGUGAAUCGUAAACAAUAAAACCACAUAUUAUUACUUGUAAAAUGAUUAAUGGCUACAAUUUGAUUAUUUCGGUCACACGUCAAACCAGCAUCCAUAAAUUAAAGGUGCAACACCUUAUUUGGGAUAAAGUGUGAACUUAAUUUUCAUUGUGCCAUAUAGCAUAUUAAGUCACCCGUCAAACCCUAUAAAUUGUUUCCUUAUAUUAAUGCAAUAGAUUGUGAUUCACCUUUUAUAUAUACUCUGAGGGCAAGUUUAGUAAACUGCCGUUUGUUCAUGGUAAA